AAAGUUUGUUGAACAUUUCUUUAAGUGCUUCUUGGCCACCAGAGAUUCCUCUGUUGAGACUUCUCUGUUUAGCUCUGUUCCCCAUUUUUUAAAAUUGUGUCAUUGGUUUGUUGGUACAUAAUUUCUUGUGGCUAUUAGCCCUCUGUCAGAUGUAGGGUUGGUGAAGAUCUUUCCCCAUUCUGUAGGUUACUGUUCUGUUCUGUUGAGGGUGUCCUUAGCUUUGCAGAAGCUUUACAGUUUCAUGAGGUCCUGUUUAUUAAUUGUUGAUCUUAGUGCCUGAGCUUUUGGUGUUCUGUUCUGGAAGUUUUCCCCUGUGCCAAUAUGUUCAAGGCAUUUCCCCACUUUCUCUUCUAUUAGAAUUAGUGCAUCCAGUUUUAUGUUGAGGUCUUUGGACUUGAGUUUUGUGAAGGGUGGUAAAUAUGAAUCUAUUUUCAUUCUUCUAUAUGCAAACAUCCAAUUAGACUAACACUGUUUGUUGAAGGUAUUUUCUUUUUUCCACUAUAUGAUUUUGGCUUCUUUGUCAAAAAUCAAGUGUCCUUAGGUGUAUGAGUUUAUUUCUGGGUCUUCAAUUCUAUUCCACUGCUCAAUAUGUUUAUUCAAUGCCAGUACCAUGUGCCUUCAAUUUUCAUUGCUCUGUAGUACAGUUGGAAAUCAGGGAUGGUGAUACCUUCAGAAGUUCUUUUAUUGUCCAGGAUUGUUUUAGUGAUCCUGAGUCUUUUUUUUUUUUUUUUCAUAUGAAGUUGAGAAUUGCUCUAUCAACUCAAUGUCUACAAGAUCCCUGGGAAAUUUUUCUAUUGGUUGACAGUAGCUAAGAAAAAGGUUAAAUAAAGGGUGGACAUUUGAAAUUAGCAAUUAUGACUAUUUUUAAAUAAAAGAAGUGCUAUAUUAUCUUACAUUGUCUUUUUGCAAAGAAGUGUGAACCAAAAAGCAUUAUUAUCUCAACUGAGUAAAUGAAGGUUUCAAUUACACAAGAAGACACAUUAGUCAUAUAAAAUUCUAAUAUUCAAACAAGAAUUCUAAUAUGUAAACAUUUGCCAGGAUAUUUCCAAUAUUUUGGUAUUUAAGAGUGUAUGUAAUGUUAAGUUGAAUCAUAAAUCAUAGUACAACCAUGAGUCCAUUCUUAUUUAAAGAUAAUCUAUUUCUGAUGUGAUACAAAUUUGUAAUUUGUUUCUUAUACAUAUAUUGGUGAAAACUAUCUGCUUUCCAGGCACAUAUGCUUAGUUGAUUGUGAAAAUGUUGAUUUGAACAAUAUUCAUCCUUGAGUGUAUCGCCAGGGAAGUUCUCCUCCUCUAAGAGUGAAGAGGAAAGAAGACAGAAUUGUAUCCAGUGUAUCCAGUGCGGUGUCUGAAACCGUUACAAUGGUGUGCAUCUUGUUUCCAUUAUUUUUUAUUGCCGUGUUUCGAUGAGAUCAUACUUUGAGCCACCAUAGCUGACCUGUUCUUUAUGAGCAACUCUGAGCACCCAGCAUCCUUCCUAACAGGAUAGUCUCUGCUGAUACAAGUUCCCUCAAGAGGUUUUGGAAUUUUCAUUGAUGGUCUUUUCAAUCUUGCGACAAUUCAUAUGCCAUCAUUAAUUAUCUCUGUUUUCCAACCUGGUUGAGUGAAAUAAUUAAGUUUCACCAGCAAGAAAAAUCAGUGUAUUAAAAACCUUUGGCUGCGUUUGCAUUAGGCUGAGAUGAAAGGGAGCCUGGGAGCAGAGGCAAUGUCUCAGCUGGAAUGUAACUGUCAACAGCACUAACACGACUCACCAGCUCUAUUAGCAGAAACGGCCUGCAGGGAUCUUUACAUCAAAAUCAUUAAAAACUAAGAUUGUCAACAAACUCAGUCCUAGUUGGACCUAGAAGCCGAUUUAGAAACCGAUUUUCUCUAGUAAUUGGGCUUAAUGAGUUACUCUCUCAGUAUCAUGCUUUAUGGUGUAAUUAAACACACACACACACACACACACACACACACACACACACACACACUGAAGGUGUGGUUCUCAGUCAUGCAUUGAGAGGUGAUUGGGUGGUAAAGGUGCCAUACUCAUCAAGGGACAUCCCACAACUGAUUGCACUCUUGGGAUGUGGUGACCUCCCAGCUUAGAAGCUGUGACCUGGAAUAGGGAGGGGGUGAGGGGUGGAAGGAUGUGUCUGUUCCUUAGCCACUCUUCUGCCUUCCUUGCCUUCCUCACCUCCGUGAGAAAAUCAACAAUGUUCUUCCAGAGGCUUCCUGACUUCCUACAGUCCAGUAACAGUGGAGCCAGUGUCUGAGAGCAGAACCUUCUGAAACUGUGAACGAAGACUUCCUCCCUUAAAAACAUCAGUGCUUUGUAAGCCCCUGGGGAUGAUGUCUUCCCUCCAGGACACUCUCAGGUGAACACUGAAGAUUCCAUAGGCCAGAACCUCCAGGUUACAAAUGAGUUUUACAUAUUAUAUUCCUGUGAAAGUGCUACUUGAUUUAUUUAAUGGGAGGGUUAUCACUUGGUUUUAAUGAUAUAUCAAAGAAAACACUGAGAUCUCUUGUCAUGCCAGUACCCCCCCCCCCC
RNAcentral lists this long non-coding RNA (2526 nucleotides) under Mus musculus (house mouse). RNAcentral describes it as "long non-coding RNA chr5:102276742-102279268". Lineage: Eukaryota; Metazoa; Chordata; Mammalia; Rodentia; Muridae. The record is from RNAcentral.